UAGCUCAACUAUUAGGCUUCGGGGGAUACUGCCGAGACUUGGAACCGGGAGAGGUAAGAGGUACUACAGGGGUAGGAGUGAAAUCUUGGUAAUCCCUGUGGGACCGACCUGUGGCGAAGGCGUCUUACCAGAACGGGUUCGACGGUGAGGGACGAAAGCUGGGGGCACGAACCGGAUUAGAUACCCGGGUAGUCCCAGCCGUAAACGAUGCUCGCUAGGUGUCAGGCAUGGCGCGACCGUGUCUGGUGCCGCAGGGAAGCCGUGAAGCGAGCCACCUGGGAAGUACGGCCGCAAGGCUGAAACUUAAAGGAAUUGGCGGGGGAGCACAACAACGGGUGGAGCCCUGCGGUUUAAUUGGACUCAACGCCGGACACUCACCGGGGGCGACAGCAAUAUGUAGGCCAAGCUGAAGACUUUGCCUGAAUCGCUGAGGAGUGGUGCAUGG
Molecule: ribosomal RNA, 445 nt
Filed under: uncultured archaeon
Lineage: Archaea
Description: bacterial SSU rRNA
Rfam family: Archaeal small subunit ribosomal RNA
Source: RNAcentral